CCUACGGGAGACAGCAGUAGGGAAUAUUGCUCAAUGGGGGAAACCCUGAAGCAGCAACGCCGCGUGGAGGAUGAAGGUUUUCGGAUUGUAAACUCCUUUUGUUAGAGAAGAUAAUGACGGUAUCUAACGAAUAAGCACCGGCUAACUCCGUGCCAGCAGCCGCGGUAAUACGGAGGGUGCAAGCGUUACUCGGAAUCACUGGGCGGAAAGAGCGCGUAGGCGGGAUAGCAAGUCAGAUGUGAAAUCCUAUGGCUUAACCAUAGAACUGCAUUUGAAACUGUUAUUCUAGAGUAUGGGAGAGGUAGGUGGAAUUCUUGGUGUAGGGGUAAAAUCCGUAGAGAUCAAGAGGAAUACUCAUUGCGAAGGCGACCUGCUAGAACAUAACUGACGCUGAUGCGCGAAAGCGUGGGGAGCAAACAGGAUUAGAUACCCUAGUAGUC
Molecule: ribosomal RNA, 440 nt
Filed under: uncultured bacterium
Lineage: Bacteria
Description: partial 16S ribosomal RNA
Rfam family: Bacterial small subunit ribosomal RNA
Source: RNAcentral